GACGAACGCUGGCGGCGUGCCUAAUACAUGCAAGUAGAACGCACAGUUUAUACCGUAGCUUGCUACACCAUAGACUGUGAGUUGCGAACGGGUGAGUAACGCGUAGGUAACCUGCCUGGUAGCGGGGGAUAACUAUUGGAAACGAUAGCUAAUACCGCAUAAUAUUAAUUAUUGCAUGAUAAUUAAUUGAAAGGUGCAAUUGCACCACUACCAGAUGGACCUGCGUUGUAUUAGCUAGUAGGUGAGGUAACGGCUCACCUAGGCGACGAUACAUAGCCGACCUGGGAGGGUGAUCGGCCACACUGGGACUGAGACACGGCCCAGACUCCUACGGGAGGCAGCAGUAGGGAAUCUUCGGCAAUGGACGAAAGUCUGACCGAGCAACGCCGCGUGAGUGAAGAAGGUUUUCGGAUCGUAAAGCUCUGUUGUAAGAGAAGAACGGGUGUGAGAGUGGAAAGUUCACACUGUGACGGUAUCUGACCAGAAAGGGACGGCUAACUACGUG
This 505-nucleotide ribosomal RNA is filed under the name uncultured bacterium. RNAcentral describes it as "partial 16S ribosomal RNA". It matches the Rfam family "Bacterial small subunit ribosomal RNA", at positions 28 to 507 of the family's 1533-position model. The record is from RNAcentral.